Molecule: long non-coding RNA, 864 nt
Organism: Calidris pugnax (ruff)
Lineage: Eukaryota; Metazoa; Chordata; Aves; Charadriiformes; Scolopacidae
Exons: 3
Source: RefSeq, a predicted model, not a curated record
GGAGGGACAGUCCAGGGAACAGCUUGCAAACAGGGCCCAGAGAUCUCCAGUUACCACCUUCUCCCUGCAGGAGAAGUCUUUACCGCCGACUAUCACAGCAAUGGAGUUUUGCCAGCUGCUUAAAAUCACACUCUAAUAGCCUGGCUUUGUCCUUCUGGCUUUGAAAACUGAAAAUGUUGACUUUAAACUUGGACGUGGGUGGUGCGAAUUAGAAGGGACUUCACGGUGCAAAUCAAACGCAAAGCUGGAGUUUAUUUCAUCCCCCACAGAUACCCACAGGGGAUGUCAGAGAACUAAGCAAAGCCAACAGACCAGCACAGUAAUUCUCUCUGCAAGAAGUACCAAGUGAAACCUCCACCCUUGUCACAGACAAACACACACCUACUGCUCUACCAAAAUAAGUACAGCGUGAUCCAGAGCUCAAAUCUGGUGACAGUCAGGAUAUAUUGUAAGAAGCAGCUGCUGAACUGCAGCAUAGAAGCCUGAGGAGAUGCUCCUGGUGAUGAAGAGGCCCAAAGAAAUCAUUUUCUUUCUCCUUUUUAGAUGAUUCUGCUUAUACAGCUAAAUCUUCUGCCUCUUGAUCCUGCGCUCAAGAUUACCAACUCAUCAAACCUGCUGUCCUCAGCUGUGGCCACCACAUAACACUGAGAUAAAACCUAUCAAGAAAUCCAGCCAGACUGGAGGAUGCCCACAGAAUCACAGGAAACUCCCCAGGAACCCUGCUUUACCCCUGAGAUCUUACAGAAGGAGACCGGAGUAUCAGUCUGCAUCUGAAAGGACCACACUCAUCAGCCAGGUUGCCAGACCUCCUAUACAACCUUAAUGAAUAAUUGGUCCUGUGUCCUGUCUGAAGAGCGAUGAGGU